RNAcentral lists this ribosomal RNA (464 nucleotides) under uncultured bacterium. Its description in RNAcentral is "partial 16S ribosomal RNA". It matches the Rfam family "Bacterial small subunit ribosomal RNA", at positions 339 to 795 of the family's 1533-position model. The record is from RNAcentral.
CUACGGGAGGCACCAGUGGGGAAUAUUGCACAAUGGGCGCAAGCCUGAUGCAGCCAUGCCGCGUGUAUGAAGAAGGCCAUCGGGUUGUAAAGUACUUUCAGCGGGGAGGAAGGGAGUAAAGUUAAUACCUUUGCUCAUUGACGUUACCCGCAGAAGAAGCACCGGCUAACUCCGUGCCAGCAGCCGCGGUAAUACGGAGGGUGCAAGCGUUAAUCGGAAUUACUGGGCGUAAAGCGCACGCAGGCGGUUUGUUAAGUCAGAUGUGAAAUCCCCGGGCUCAACCUGGGAACUGCAGCUGAUACUGGCAAGCUUGAGUCUCGUAGAGGGGGGUAGAAUUCCAGGUGUAGCGGUGAAAUGCGUAGAGAUCUGGAGGAAUACCGGUGGCGAAGGCGGCCCCCUGGACGAAGACUGACGCUCAGGUGCGAAAGCGUGGGGAGCAAACAGGAUUAGAUACCCUCGUAGUC